Molecule: ribosomal RNA, 510 nt
Filed under: uncultured bacterium
Lineage: Bacteria
Description: partial 16S ribosomal RNA
Rfam family: Bacterial small subunit ribosomal RNA
Source: RNAcentral
GACGAACGCUGGCGGCGUGCUUAACACAUGCAAGUCGAACGAAGGGCGAUGGCAGCUUGCUUCUAUCCAUCUUAGUGACGAACGGGUGAGUCACGCGUAAUCAACCUGCCCUUCUGAGGGAGACAACAGUUGGAAACGACUGCUAAUACCGCAUACGCUCUAAUCUCGGCAUCGAGGGUAGAUGAUAGGUGGCCUCUACAUGUAAGCUAUCACUGAAGGAGGGGAUUGCGUCGGUUUAGUUCGUAGGAGGGGUAAGGGCCCACCAAGGCGAUGAUCAGUAGCCGGUCUGAGAUGAUGGACGGCCACAUUGGGAGUGAGACACGGCACAGACGGCUACGGGAGGGAGCAGUGGGGAAACGGCCGCAAUGGACGAGAGUCUGACGGAGCAACGCCGCGUGAGCGAGGACGGCCGUCGGGUUGGAAAGCUCUGUUAAUCGGGACGAAAGGCCUUCUUGCGAAUAGUGAGAAGGAUUGACGGUACUGGAAUAGAAAGCAACGGCUAACUACGUG